GAGGUUUGUAUUGAAAGUAUUUUGUGAUAGUUUAUGGUGGGUCAUGUGAUUUGGGCGGUAUUGAUUGCUUAUUUUAGGCACCUGUUCAUGCAGUGUCAGUUGGAGCAGAGAGGAUUGCUGAGUUUUUGGUUCUCUUGCGUGCUUCGCUUUAGUUUGUUUCCCUUAGUGUUCUUCUUUUAUUGUUAAAGAUUUAAAGUUCUUUUCUGUCUCAGUGAAUCACUGUUUUUGUGGAAGGCGUCACAAAAGUAUUCAGGUCCAGUCUCACCUUCUCAGCAACUUUUCAUUUGAUCCUGAAGUUGCUUAAAUUUGCCAACAAAAAUCCAUCUAUGGAAGAACCUCAACAUGGAGCAUGGCAUCAAGGAUGGAGAGGAUUAAAGUCAGCAGAUGUGGAUCCAGACACGGAGGUGUGGUGAACCAGGAUGAGAUCUAAAACCUGCAGGACACCGGCUCUGGAGGACUAAGGUUCCCUACCCCUGCUCUACAGCCACAGACUCUGGUCAGGAGAAGAGAUUUUCCAGUGCCUACUCUCCUGGGUUCAGGUGAGUGAAGUGGAACAGGUACAUCCUAAUGCAGUUUAUGAACACAUGACUGGUUAUCAUGUUCAACUCUCACUGAGCCUGACAUCAGUGUGGUUGUUAAUGCUGCAAAACAGGAUGGUUUAAACACAUGCUUCGAAACCUCUGCAACAAACCACCUGCUCCAGCAGAGAUACUUAAACCAGUUUUGUGUUCCAGUCUGUGAAGCUGCAAAAAUGGCAGACUGGAAGACUCAGAUGGCUUUCAUCAAUCUGAAUCAGAAUCUCAACAGGCGAAGACUUGUUGUCAGAACUGAAGGAGGAAGUUUAGGAAAACCAGCACAUGAUGUAGAGAAAUUUCAGCACUGUGGCUCGACAGGAGCAGGUCCUGCCUUACCUGAACACCUUUGUCAGUGAUGGAGCUUCCUGUUUGUAUCCAAACACUGGGUCAGUUAAAGAGGGUGGGGGAGUAGAGAAAGGCCACUUCCUCACAUGUGUUGGUGUAGCUGAAGCUGUAGAAGUUAAAUAUUGCACAGUACUGUGUCAAUAUUUUCUACUAUUGUUUGGUGCAGUUUAUCCAUCUAGAUUAUUUUGGUAUGGACAACCCACUUUUGUAGUUUUCGCUGAGCUCUCUCUGAAAAGUAACGUUUCCAUCCUAAAGAAAUCCAGACUGUGUUACAGAUCUACUGACCUUGUAGGAAUUCUUUUCUUUCCUCUGAACUACAUCUGCUAACCAUAUCAGUGUCCUGGAGGAAGCACGUAAAGGCUUUGAACAAGAAGCUUGACUUCAUGACAGGCUUCAUGCUUCUUUGUAGUUGGCAGGUGUAGACACUGCACCAGAUUUCUGAGUUUCAACAAAUUCAUGCAUUUCAAUAAUAUUUGGGACUAGAAAAGGUGGCAGUCAAGAAACAGGCAGUGCUUCAUUUAACAAAGUCAAUAUUUACAGCAGAAAAGAUGCAGGUCUAGAUCAUUGGCCUUAAAUAUUUAUUAAAAACCCUGGACUAACCUCCAGCCUUAAAGUCUGUCAUUUCAAGAAACAUGAACAGAACAUUUAAAAUGGCUGUCAGAUAAAAUCCACAGCAAACCUGAUAUGCUGCCAGUGCCAACUAGCUUCCAUGUUGGAAAAACACUGAUGUGGAAGUGCUUUAAAUUUCUCUGAAAACCACCAGCAUGUGGUUUCAUAAUCAGACCUCCACACAUCAUAUUUCUGCCAUAUUGUUUUUGAGACCAGUAUAGCAAAAAUCCUCAUCUUGAGGCUCCAGAAUGAGAAUUCACAAAUAAAAGGGGCAGUAACAGCAGCUACAGCCAUCUUUAUGCUGUUAGCAAGGCUCUCCACUUUGUGUAGAAACUUGCACUGUGAAGUCCGGGGUUGCUUACAUUCAAUGCGGUGCUGAAGACACUGGUGUUGCAAUCAUCAUCUACAUUAGUUCUACAAUUAUUGGAAAAUGAAACAACACAUUUUCAUCUCUUAAUGUAAUAUAAAAAAACCUGUGAUGGUGCUCUCUCAGAUUUUCCAGGAUGUGUUUUGGAUAGACUAAAAUGUAUUUACAAUAGCCAGAGCCGACUGAAUUCAAAUAUUUCUAAAAUCUAAUGGAUUAAAAAUAAAGGACCUAAAAUUUACCCUGACUUCUAUUUACUAAAAGAGAUCAAAUCUGAGACUCUGCUAUGUUGAGCUACAUAAAAGCAGAAAUAGUAAAAUUUAAUACAAAAAAGCUGAUAUACAUUAGUGUCUGUAAUUAAAAGAGCAUUAGCAGCUGGCAAGGCUCUCCACUUGCUCCUUCAAAACUUGUAUUGUAUACA
Long non-coding RNA from Haplochromis burtoni (Burton's mouthbrooder), 2314 nucleotides. RefSeq lists it as uncharacterized. The record is from RefSeq and is a predicted model, not a curated record. The transcript has 3 exons. Lineage: Eukaryota; Metazoa; Chordata; Actinopteri; Cichliformes; Cichlidae.